Molecule: ribosomal RNA, 801 nt
Filed under: Salmonella enterica subsp. enterica serovar Legon
Lineage: Bacteria; Pseudomonadati; Pseudomonadota; Gammaproteobacteria; Enterobacterales; Enterobacteriaceae
Description: bacterial LSU rRNA
Rfam family: Bacterial large subunit ribosomal RNA
Source: RNAcentral
GUAGGGCGGGACACGUGGUAUCCUGUCUGAAUAUGGGGGGACCAUCCUCCAAGGCUAAAUACUCCUGACUGACCGAUAGUGAACCAGUACCGUGAGGGAAAGGCGAAAAGAACCCCGGCGAGGGGAGUGAAAAAGAACCUGAAACCGUGUACGUACAAGCAGUGGGAGCACAGGUUUACCUGUGUGACUGCGUACCUUUUGUAUAAUGGGUCAGCGACUUAUAUUCUGUAGCAAGGUUAACCGAAUAGGGGAGCCGCAGGGAAACCGAGUCUUAACCGGGCGUUAAGUUGCAGGGUAUAGACCCGAAACCCGGUGAUCUAGCCAUGGGCAGGUUGAAGGUUGGGUAACACUAACUGGAGGACCGAACCGACUAAUGUUGAAAAAUUAGCGGAUGACCUGUGGCUGGGGGUGAAAGGCCAAUCAAACCGGGAGAUAGCUGGUUCUCCCCGAAAGCUAUUUAGGUAGCGCCUCGUGAACUCAUCUCCGGGGGUAGAGCACUGUUUCGGCUAGGGGGUCAUCCCGACUUACCAACCCGAUGCAAACUGCGAAUACCGGAGAAUGUUAUCACGGGAGACACACGGCGGGUGCUAACGUCCGUCGUGAAGAGGGAAACAACCCAGACCGCCAGCUAAGGUCCCAAAGUCAUGGUUAAGUGGGAAACGAUGUGGGAAGGCCCAGACAGCCAGGAUGUUGGCUUAGAAGCAGCCAUCAUUUAAAGAAAGCGUAAUAGCUCACUGGUCGAGUCGGCCUGCGCGGAAGAUGUAACGGGGCUAAACCAUGCACCGAAGCUGCGGCAGCGAC